UAAAAAGUAAGCUAAUUUUAAGCUUUUGGGUUCAUACCUCAACUAUAGAUAAAUUCUCUUUUUAA
This 65-nucleotide transfer RNA is filed under the name Fuelleborniella sp. FuspCA. Its description in RNAcentral is "tRNA-Met". Lineage: Eukaryota; Metazoa; Arthropoda; Insecta; Psocodea; Caeciliusidae. The record is from RNAcentral.